Molecule: long non-coding RNA, 319 nt
Organism: Drosophila novamexicana
Lineage: Eukaryota; Metazoa; Arthropoda; Insecta; Diptera; Drosophilidae
Exons: 3
Source: RefSeq, a predicted model, not a curated record
GCCGCCACAAUCUGUAGUGAGACAACAACAAAUGUGUGAGCGGUUGUCCAGGAACUGCAAAAAUUUUGCAAUAUGUUGGCGCAGGUUCAGCGAAAACCAGUGCUCAGCGUUUGUGUCUCAAAAUAUGCAUUUUAAUAACCGAAAAAAGCAAAACAAAAUAAUUAUUAAAAGCAACAAAUGAUAAUUAACAAAGUAAAGAAAACACAAUGUGAGCAUGUGUUAUGUGAAAUUUAGAAGUUAAGCGCGAAUUGUAUGUAUUAUUUAAAUUUCUGUUCAAUAAGUUUACAUUAAAAAACAAAAAAUCUAACAAAAAAACGUA